UAUCCUUUGUUGCCAGCGGUCCGGCCGGGAACUCAAAGGAGACUGCCAGUGAUAAACUGGAGGAAGGUGGGGAUGACGUCAAGUCAUCAUGGCCCUUACGACCAGGGCUACACACGUGCUACAAUGGCGCAUACAAAGAGAAGCGACCUCGCGAGAGCAAGCGGACCUCAUAAAGUGCGUCGUAGUCCGGAUUGGAGUCUGCAACUCGACUCCAUGAAGUCGGAAUCGCUAGUAAUCGUGGAUCAGAAUGCCACGGUGAAUACGUUCCCGGGCCUUGUACACACCGCCCG
Molecule: ribosomal RNA, 290 nt
Filed under: uncultured Shigella sp.
Lineage: Bacteria; Pseudomonadati; Pseudomonadota; Gammaproteobacteria; Enterobacterales; Enterobacteriaceae
Description: partial 16S ribosomal RNA
Rfam family: Bacterial small subunit ribosomal RNA
Source: RNAcentral